Hordeum vulgare subsp. vulgare (domesticated barley) is the source of this 2361-nucleotide long non-coding RNA. RefSeq lists it as uncharacterized. Lineage: Eukaryota; Viridiplantae; Streptophyta; Magnoliopsida; Poales; Poaceae. The transcript is spliced from 3 exons. The record is from RefSeq and is a predicted model, not a curated record.
ACUGCAAAGGGGGUAAAUAAUCCAGUACCCCAGUACUUUGCAUGCUGCUUUAUGAAACCCAUGUAUAAGAGGCGCAAGAAGAACAAAAAAAGGCUAGCUCUGCAUACAGAUGUCGAAAUCGUCAAGGCAGUCGAAAAGCCCAACUGACCACUCCACAACCAUGGUUUGGCUUUGGAUUGGUCUUCCCAAGGACACAGUGUUCAAUUGGCAUGUUCUGCUUUGGAUCAAUCUUUCGGAAAUCCCAUGUUGAAUCAGCAUAUGUCAGCACUUUGGAGCUUCCAGCUUUGGUGGUAAUUUCCAUGCCGUAUCGUAUGUAUGAAAUCAGCCUGAUAGUAAAAUACUGAUGAUAAUCACCCAGGUGAUCUCGGUCUAAAAUGGGGGAACCAUGCCUGGUUAUUAGCUUGUAAAAGUGUCAGUCGUAACUUCUUCCUAUCCAAGCCUAUAGAUAGCUAAGUAAUUAACGAAUAUUCCAUGUUCUGCUUUGGAUCAAUCUUUCUGGAAAUCCCAUGCUCAAUCAGCAUAUGACAGCACUUUGGAGCUUCUAGCUUUGGUGGACUAGAGGGUACCACGAAGUCAAUGUACAAGGACUACACCAUGCAUGCAUGACAUAAACAACAUGGUACAUAUUCCGGUUUGAUUCUAACUUUUUGCCCUAUGGUUUAUAUCUUUCUUAGUACAAUGCUUCAUGCGGCUGAACUACCUCUUGUCCGAAUUUUUGCCAUCUCAAUUAUGAGCUUCUGUAUCUGUCCAAUCUUUCUUGAAAUAUCUUGCUUGUUGUGUAGCCAUUUGUUAUCACAUUUUUUCUUCAAUCAUCUUAAGCAUACAGGAUGCCCCAUCUUCAAGUAUUUAUUUCUCAUGCCAGUUUGGCAGUCAGUAUUGAGUCAAGAGAUUCGUAGUUUUACAACUUGAGCACUGCAUUUUAGUUCACAGGCCACUAAACUUCAGUACAAUCUACAACCAUAUAAUGCGUGUCAAGUAAGAAAACUGAACCAAAAUCACAAGGACAGAUAACAGGAGAUUUAACAACUUGAUUACCAAAUGGAGCAAGUCACUAGGCCUGCCUUUCCUCUUUCGAUGUUGUAGAACAUCAUGAAACGAAAAUUAACAGAGAACAGGACAGCUAACAUCAUUAUUUUAUUGACAUGUUCUAGAAGCACAUCCCUUGCUUCCCAGGUGCUUUCAUGCCUUGCACACACCCCACCAUCUUGUUGCUACCUUCCCAUCCUGCAAAUGUAAUGAUUUAGUAAUGAUUACUUUGUCUUUGUGAAACAUGAAUUUUCUUGACUACGCAUUCUCUCAGCAAGACGCGGUUACCUUUGGCCAUGUUGAAGCCACGGUUUUCCAGCUCCUUGUACUCUUGGCAUAGCGCACAACUCUCACAGAAGAAGUGGACGCAGCAAUCGAUGCAGGGCGAUGCUUUCAAGUUGUAUUGCGACCGCAUCGCCGAGCGUUUGGUACAAGAAUACAACCAGUUGCAGCCUACGCACGCCAGGCAAACAUACAGAGUCCCAUUCAUGCAGCAUGCUGAAAACAAGGAGACUCAGCCACAAAGAUGGAUGAUUUUUAUGCUUCAGCCCAAGCAUGAAUUCUAAGCGAAACACCUACAUGGGGAGCCUUUGUCCACAAUCCCAGCAAGACGACCAAAGGUAACACAGGGGCACCAGAAAGUCAAGCAACCUGCAAUGUUUGGAAAUGGAAUGGAACAUAGAUGAGUACUUUGCAAGUUUGCAUGCUGCCUAUGAAACCCAUGUACAAGGGAUGCAAGAAGAGCAGAAAAAAACUAGGUCUGCAUACAGGUGGCGGAAAUCUCCAAAGCAGUCGAAAAGCCCAACUGACCAAUCCGCAACCAUGGUGCUACUUAGUUUGGUAGAUUGUGAAUCUGUGAUCGUUGGAGUAUGGUAAUAGCAGUGGUGUGCAGCUGGUACCCUUGUGAGCAAUCUGUGAUGCUGCCGAUGUUUAUAUACUAGCAGUAACAGUGCAGUAUCAAGUAUGACAGAGUCAGUUGCUUCAGCAACCAAUUCCAGUGCAGCAUUUUUGUUUUUGUUUUAUGGGCUUUCUCUUGCAAUCUGCACCGAAUAUUGUACGCUAAUGCCAUGUUUACUGGUUCUGCUUUGAUUUGGUCUUCUCAAGGAAACGGUGUUCAAUUGGCAUGUUCUGCUUUGGACCAAUCUUUCUGGAAAUCCCAUGCCCAAUUAGCACAUGGCAGCAUUCUGGAGCUUCUAGUCUUGGUGGUAACUUUCAUGCCUUAUCGGCGUUUUCCUUAUGUAUGAAAUCCCAUGUAAGUCUCCAUUUAGAGUAGGGGAACCAUGCCUGGUGACAAACUUCGUAAAUGUGCCAGUUAUAAAUCCAAGCCUUUAACCA